AGAGUUUGAUCCUGGCUCAGAUUGAACGCUGGCGGCAGGCUUAACACAUGCAAGUCGAGCGGAGCGAGGGUGCUUGCACCUUAGCUUAGCGGCGGACGGGUGAGUAAUGCUUAGGAAUCUGCCUAUUAGUGGGGGACAACAUUCCGAAAGGAAUGCUAAUACCGCAUACGCCCUACGGGGGAAAGCAGGGGAUCUUCGGACCUUGCGCUAAUAGAUGAGCCUAAGUCAGAUUAGCUAGUUGGUGGGGUAAAGGCCUACCAAGGCGACGAUCUGUAGCGGGUCUGAGAGGAUGAUCCGCCACACUGGGACUGAGACACGGCCCAGACUCCUACGGGAGGCAGCAGUGGGGAAUAUUGGACAAUGGGCGAAAGCCUGAUCCAGCCAUGCCGCGUGUGUGAAGAAGGCCUUUUGGUUGUAAAGCACUUUAAGCGAGGAGGAGGCUACUUGGAUUAAUACUCUAGGAUAGUGGACGUUACUCGCAGAAUAAGCACCGGCUAACUCUGUGCCAGCAGCCGCGGUAAUA
RNAcentral lists this ribosomal RNA (523 nucleotides) under uncultured bacterium. RNAcentral's name for it is "bacterial SSU rRNA". It matches the Rfam family "Bacterial small subunit ribosomal RNA", at positions 8 to 525 of the family's 1533-position model. The record is from RNAcentral.